ACGAUGUGCCACUCGGGGCUCUUUAGGAUCUACAUCUUUGCUUCACUGACCUCUUCACCCCAGGAGACCCAGAGCAUUUUGUGGGUGGGCGGUUGGAGGAACUCCUUCCCUGUUCCUUUAAUCAUCCUGAUUUACUCUUCUUAUUUCUUAUUCCUAUGAUGACAUUCCUUCCUUUUGAGAGCUUGAAGAAGUUGUCACCCACCAACAGGGAGCCCAUUGACCAGGACGUGGUGUCAUCAGAUUUCUGAGGUAAGGCCAGAGCCCUGGGCACCAUGGAGGGGGUGUGUGUGAGAGGGACUGAGAGACUGGGCUUCUGACGCUGAUUUCCGUGCCAGUGCCUCUUGUCUCUGGUGGAAGGUGGCCCCUAGGGACCAUCAGAGGAAGCAAAGCUGAUUAUUAGACCAUCUCAUUGUUAAGCACGGAUGAGACGAAAAGAGUCAAUAUUGUGAGGAGGUCGAUUCUCUCCAAAUUGGUCUACAAAUUCAAAGCAAUCCCAAUCAAAACCCAAGCAGGGUUUGUUGCCUUUAUUAUUAUUAUUUUUUAAGAAAACUAACACAGCGACUCUAAAAUGUAUUAGCGUUUGUUGAAGGCCACAAACCAUCACAGAAAAUUUAAAGAAGAACAAAUUUGAAUUACCAGAUAUCAAAAACGUCAUAGAAAUUGCCAGAACACAGCAUAGAAUUCAUACGGUCAUAGACAAACCAAUGGGACAGAAGAGACUCUUAAAGCAGUUCACAGGUAUCCGUGAUUUUUUUUUUUUUUUUUUUGGUACUGGGAUUGAACUCAGGGGCGAUCAACCACUGAGUCACAUCCCCAGCCCUAUUUUGUAUUUUAUUUAGAGACAGAGUCUUACUGAGUUGCUUAGUGCCUUGCUUUUCUGAGGCUGGCUUUGAACUUGCAAUCUUCUUCCUCAGCCUCACAACUUGCUGGUGUUAUAGGCAUGCACCACCGAGCCCGGCGGAAUCCUUGAUUUUUGACAAGACUCACACUGUGGAAGAGUGGAGAAAGGAUGGUCUUUUUAAUAAGUGAUACUGGAUAAAUUAUGUCCACAUGGGGAAGAAAUGAAAUGCGAUCCAUCUACAUGUCAUAGACCAAAAAUAAAUAAAUAAACAAUCCAUUCUAGGUAGACUGAAGUGUUAAAAAAAAUGUAGAAGAAAUCGUUGAUUUGAAUUGAUCUUCUGCACUAAGCUGGAACCAACAGAAACCAAACUGAACCAAACCAAAAUGGAGUUACUUGUGCUUAAGUUGCAUGUCACCAAACAAACUCAAGUUGUUUUUCUGAUCUUUUAAGAAACGGUGUGGGGAGGGGUGUGUAUGGGGGUCACGGAAUCUUAAACAGGCCAGUUUUAGCAGUCACAACAUGGAAUCCCCUCUGCUCUAACCUUUACAUGGAAUGCUCUGAAUCAACCAGUGCUAACCCUCCAGUUUCUGUUCCUGUUCCUGCUUUCUUGAGCUCUUCACAGCCCAUAAAGCCAACUUCUCCUGCUUAGCUCAGUGCCACAUUUUAAGAGGGGAUGCUG
This 1520-nucleotide long non-coding RNA is filed under the name Marmota monax (woodchuck). The record is from RNAcentral. Lineage: Eukaryota; Metazoa; Chordata; Mammalia; Rodentia; Sciuridae.